This 405-nucleotide ribosomal RNA is filed under the name uncultured bacterium. RNAcentral describes it as "partial 16S ribosomal RNA". It matches the Rfam family "Bacterial small subunit ribosomal RNA", at positions 30 to 526 of the family's 1533-position model. The record is from RNAcentral.
AUUGAACGCUAGCGGGAUGCUUUACACAUGCAAGUCGAACGAGUGGCGGACGUGUGAGUAAUAUAUCGGAACGUGCCCAGUAGCGGGGGAUAACUACUCGACAGAGUGUCUAAUACCGCAUACUCUUGGAGCGGCCGAUAUCGUAUUAGCUAGUUGGUGGGGUAAAGGCUCACCAAGGCAACGAUCCGUAGCUGGUUUGAGAGGAAGACCAGCCACACUGGGACUGAGACACGGCCCAGACUCCUACGGGAGGCAGCAGUGGGGAAUAUUGCACAAUGGGGGAAAGCCUGAUGCAGCCAUCCCGCGUGUAUGAGAAGGCCUUCGGGUUGUAAAGUACUUUUGGCAGGGAAGCGGUAUCUGCAGAAUAAGCACCGGCUAACUACGUGCCAGCAGCCGCGGUAAUAC